This 356-nucleotide long non-coding RNA is filed under the name Cyanistes caeruleus (blue tit). Its description in RNAcentral is "lncRNA (ENSCCEG00000012372.1)". The record is from RNAcentral. Lineage: Eukaryota; Metazoa; Chordata; Aves; Passeriformes; Paridae.
AUGAAGUCAUGGAAGAAGAGGCCUGUUCCACGCACAGAGCGCCUCUUGAGCAAGGCUGGCAAAAGCAUGGACCAGAAAUUGUUGUUCCUUCAACACAGUAAUCCAACUAAAUUCACCAGUACAGAGACAUUCAGAAAGAAUGAUCCUGUGGAAAUGAGCAGCAGCAUAAUUGAUCUGCUGAAAUGACAGCUGCUUGAAGGUGUGAAAACAAUUGCAAAUUAUCUUGAAGGCAAGUAAUUCUCUACUUGAUACUCAUUGUAUGUUCAUCUUUUUGAGCGAGGUUUUGUUUCACAGUGAGAUGGCCAACUUCAUAAUCUCUUCACCCUAAUACUCAGAGAAUGUAAAGAGAUUUCUUC